RNAcentral lists this ribosomal RNA (482 nucleotides) under uncultured bacterium. RNAcentral's name for it is "bacterial SSU rRNA". It matches the Rfam family "Bacterial small subunit ribosomal RNA", at positions 29 to 506 of the family's 1533-position model. The record is from RNAcentral.
UUGAACGCUGGCGGAAUGCUUUACACAUGCAAGUCGAACGGCAGCACGGGGGCAACCCUGGUGGCGAGUGGCGAACGGGUGAGUAAUGUAUCGGAACGUACCCAGUCGUGGGGGAUAACUAUCCGAAAGGAUAGCUAAUACCGCAUAUGCCCUGAGGGGGAAAGGGGGGGAUCGCAAGACCUCUCGCUUUCGGAGUGGCCGAUAUCGGAUUAGCUAGUUGGUGAGGUAAAGGCUCACCAAGGCGACGAUCCGUAGCUGGUCUGAGAGGACGACCAGCCACACUGGGACUGAGACACGGCCCAGACUCCUACGGGAGGCAGCAGUGGGGAAUUUUGGACAAUGGGGGCAACCCUGAUCCAGCCAUGCCGCGUGAGUGAAGAAGGCCUUCGGGUUGUAAAGCUCUUUCAGACGGAAAGAAACGGUCACGGCGAAUACCCGUGACUAAUGACGGUACCGUAAGAAGAAGCACCGGCUAACUACGU